This 977-nucleotide ribosomal RNA is filed under the name human gut metagenome. RNAcentral describes it as "bacterial LSU rRNA". It matches the Rfam family "Bacterial large subunit ribosomal RNA", at positions 1950 to 2925 of the family's 2925-position model. The record is from RNAcentral.
CCUAAGGUAGCGAAAUUCCUUGUCAGGUAAGUUCUGACCCGCACGAAAGGCGUAACGAUUUGGGCGCUGUCUCAGCUGUAGACUCGGUGAAGUCUUAGUACCUGUGAAGAUGCAGGUUACCCGCGACUAGACGGAAAGACCCCAUGGAGCUUCACUGCAGGUUGAUAUUGGGAUUUGAUGCAGCAUGUACAGGAUAGGUAGGAGGCAAAGAGAUGGAUACGCCAGUAUUCAAGGAGCCGCUGUUGGGAUACUACCCCUGUUGUAUUGGAUUUCUAACCGGACGACGUAGAACCGUUGACGGGACAGUGUCAGUCGGGCAGUUUGACUGGGGCGGUCGCCUCCCAAAGAGUAACGGAGGCGCCCAAAGAUACCCUCAGCUUGGAUGGAAACCAAGCGCAGAGUGCAAAGGCAAAAGGGUGUUUGACUGCGAGACCCACAAGUCGAGCAGGGACGAAAGUCGGGCUUAGUGAUCCGGCGGUGCUGAAUGGAAAGGCCGUCGCUCAACGGAUAAAAGCUACCCUGGGGAUAACAGGCUGAUCUCCCCCAAGAGUCCACAUCGACGGGGAGGUUUGGCACCUCGAUGUCGGCUCAUCGCAUCCUGGGGCUGUAUUCGGUCCCAAGGGUUUGGCUGUUCGCCAAUUAAAGCGGUACGCGAGCUGGGUUCAGAACGUCGUGAGACAGUUCGGUCCCUAUCUGUCGUGGGCGUAGGAUAUUUGCAAGGAGCUGUCCCUAGUACGAGAGGACCGGGAUGGACGCACCUCUGGUGCACCAGUUGUCACGCCAGUGGCACAGCUGGGCAGCUAUGUGCGGAACGGAUAAACGCUGAAGGCAUCUAAGCGUGAAGCCGCCCUUAAGAUAAGAUAUCCCUUCUGUUUACAGAGUAAGACCCCUUGAAGACUACAAGGUUGAUAGGCUCAAAGUGUAAGCACGGUGACGUGUUUAGCUAGCGAGUACUAAUCGGUCGAGGGCUUAACCUU